This 105-nucleotide non-coding RNA is filed under the name Clostridium carboxidivorans. RNAcentral describes it as "SAM-I sequence". It matches the Rfam family "SAM riboswitch aptamer (S box leader)". Rfam says of the family: The SAM riboswitch is found upstream of a number of genes which code for proteins involved in methionine or cysteine biosynthesis in Gram-positive bacteria. The SAM riboswitch acts at the level of transcription termination control. RNAcentral also lists the same sequence under 1 other name. Lineage: Bacteria; Bacillati; Bacillota; Clostridia; Eubacteriales; Clostridiaceae. The record is from RNAcentral.
CUCUUAUCAAGAGAGGUGGAGGGAAAAGGGCCCUAUGAAACCCGGCAACCGGCAACAGAAUUGCUAAGGUGCCAAUUCCUGCAGUGAUAAUCUGCAAGAUAAGAG